CCCAGACUCCUACGGGAGGCAGCAGUGGGGGAUAUUGGACAAUGGGGGGAACCCUGAUCCAGCGACGCCGCGUGAGUGAAGAAGUAUCUCGGUAUGUAAAGCUCUAUCAGCGGGGAAGAAGAAAUGACGGUACCUGAGUAAGAAGCCCCGGCUAACUACGAGCCAGCAGCCGCGGUAAUACGUAGGGGGCAAGCGUUAUCCGGAUUUACUGGGUGUAAAGGGAGCGUAGGCGGUUUAGCAAGUCAGAAGUGAAAGCCCGGGGCUCAACUCCGGGACUGCUUUUGAAACUGUUGAACUAGAUUGCAGGAGAGGUAAGUGGAAUUCCUAGUGUAGCGGUGAAAUGCGUAGAUAUUAGGAGGAACACCAGUGGCGAAGGCGGCUUACUGGACUGUAAAUGACGCUGAGGCUCGAAAGCGUGGGGAGCAAACAGGAUUAGAUACCCUGGUA
Molecule: ribosomal RNA, 447 nt
Filed under: uncultured bacterium
Lineage: Bacteria
Description: bacterial SSU rRNA
Rfam family: Bacterial small subunit ribosomal RNA
Source: RNAcentral